Molecule: ribosomal RNA, 483 nt
Filed under: uncultured bacterium
Lineage: Bacteria
Description: partial 16S ribosomal RNA
Rfam family: Bacterial small subunit ribosomal RNA
Source: RNAcentral
GACGAACGCUGGCGGCGUGCUUAACACAUGCAGGUCGAACGCUGAAGCUCAGCUUUUGUUGGGUGGAUGAGUGGCGAACGGGUGAGUAACACGUGAGUAACCUGCCUCCUUCUUUGGGAUAACGCCCGGAAACGGGUGCUAAUACUGGAUAUUCACUGGUCUUCGCCUGGGGGUUGGUGGAAAGGGUUUUUCUGGUGGGGGAUGGGCUCGCGGCCUAUCAGCUUGUUGGUGGGGUGAUGGCCUACCAAGGCUUUGACGGGUAGCCGGCCUGAGAGGGUGACCGGUCACAGUGAGACGGAGCUACGGCCCAGAGUCCGACGGGAGGCAGCAGUGGGGAAUAUUGCACAAUGGGCGCAAGACUGAUGCAGCGACGCCGCGUGAGGGAUGGGGGCCGUCGGGUUGUGAACCUCUUUCGCUAAUGGUCAAGCCGCAACAAUGGUUGUGGUGAGGGUAGUGGGUAAAGAAGCGCCGGCUAACUACGUG